Molecule: long non-coding RNA, 1049 nt
Organism: Mya arenaria
Lineage: Eukaryota; Metazoa; Mollusca; Bivalvia; Myida; Myidae
Exons: 3
Source: RefSeq, a predicted model, not a curated record
CGAACUCUGUCUAUGUCCGUCAAACAAACGAGGAAGUAAUGGCGUCUCGCGUCGUUUCGCUUUCCGAUAUUCCUGACAAAUUAUCAUAAAUGUGACAUUACAAUGCGAAAAAAAUAGAAGUCAAAGGAAUUUGUAACUGGCUGCUACAUCGGAAGGCUCGAUAUAUCUUUAGAAAAUGACGAUAUCUAACAUUGACGGGGUGAAAUCUAUCCAAGUCAGAGAAAAUCGGAUAGCCGCCAUGUUGUCAACAUUGACAUCGAUACAAAGGAAAAGCGUGUGUGUGACGCAUACUGUAAAUGCAAACAAGGAAAUUGUGGAACAUGUUCACACACUCUGGCUGUAAAAGUAGACCUGGGAGGAAAAUUGCCCCCGGUGUGGGGCUCGAACUCACAACCACCAGAACACUAGCCCGGCGCUCUAACCAACUAAGCUGACCGGGCAGCUGGUUCUAACCCACACACACUACCCUCCCCCCAUUUACCGGUUAAGGCUGGUGGAGGGUCUCCUGCUAUUUACCGUUGACACCAUUAAAGUAUUCUGAUUGAUGGAGAUAAGGAAGUCCCCUUAUUGGCUUAUUAUUGUCUUCAACAAGCCUACCGCAACAGGGGACCUAGCAUAAGACCGGAAAAAGCCCCGCACCCCCCCCCCCACACACACAUGAUAUUUGCCAGUCCAGGCAAUGUCAACCGCAAGAGAAAACCAGUGAUGACAAGUUUUACAAAUAAUCGGAAAGUGUGGUCUUUUGAAGAGAGUUCUUGAAGUUGUUCAGCAUGUUGUUUUGAUGGAUUCUUAGAAGGAUGUACCUCUAUGAUGUUAGCUUCAGUUCUGGAUUAUAACACCAGUUGUUGCAUAUUUAAUAUCAGAUUUAUUAAAUACAUUGUUGUUUUGCAAACAUUACUUAAACUUUGAUAUUUCUUUGGUGUUUAUGUAUGAUAUUGUAGGUGAAUAUCUCUUUAUUGCAAUGGCAAAUAUAUUUUAAAAUAUAUAGCAUUAGCAGAAGUUAUUUUUCACUGUUAAAGCUGCACUUUCACAGAUUGAUCACUUUGACA